Non-coding RNA from Pelobates cultripes (western spadefoot toad), 252 nucleotides. The record is from the annotation of a GenBank genome assembly. NCBI's taxonomy places the organism in Eukaryota, Metazoa, Chordata, Amphibia, Anura, Pelobatidae.
CAUGGAAGCAUAAAUGGGAAUUGUUGCAGGAUCCUGAUAAAUAGAUUUUUAUUUGACUAGAUAUUGCUAGCCUAGCUGUCACAUCAUUUACUGAACACCCAGGAGACAUCUUCAUUUUGUUUACCUAAGAAAUUAAUAUUAUAGGUAGAACGGAUUCUUUCAUAGUCAUUGCAUGUAACAAACAAUAAUCCUUAACGCAAAUAGAAGUACUGCACGUUCUGAUUUUGCAGUUUGUGCUUUAGACAUGUAAAU